This 253-nucleotide ribosomal RNA is filed under the name uncultured bacterium. RNAcentral describes it as "partial 16S ribosomal RNA". It matches the Rfam family "Bacterial small subunit ribosomal RNA", at positions 524 to 776 of the family's 1533-position model. The record is from RNAcentral.
UACGUAGGUGGCAAGCGUUAUCCGGAUUUAUUGGGCGUAAAGGGAACGCAGGCGGUCUUUUAAGUCUGAUGUGAAAGCCUUCGGCUUAACCGGAGUAGUGCAUUGGAAACUGGGAGACUUGAGUGCAGAAGAGGAGAGUGGAACUCCAUGUGUAGCGGGGAAAUGCGUAGAUAUAUGGAAGAACACCAGUGGCGAAAGCGGCUCUCUGGUCUGUAACUGACGCUGAGGUUCGAAAGCGUGGGUAGCAAACAGG